AACGAACGCUGGCGGCAUGCCUAACACAUGCAAGUCGAACGAGACCUUCGGGUCUAGUGGCGCACGGGUGCGUAACGCGUGGGAACCUGCCCUUAGGUUCGGAAUAACUCCCCGAAAGGGGUGCUAAUACCGGAUAAUGUCUUCGGACCAAAGAUUUAUCGCCUUUGGAUGGGCCCGCGUUGGAUUAGCUAGUUGGUAGGGUAAAAGCCUACCAAGGCGACGGUCCAUAGCUGGUCUGGGAGGAUGAACAGCCACACUGGGACUGAGGCACGGCCCAGACCUCGGAGGGAGGGGGGGGGGGGAGAGUAUAAUGGGAGGAGGAAGGACGUAGCAAAGCAGUGCGCGGGAAGUAGGAAGGCCGUUUGGAAUGAAAUUCUUUUUGCCCGGAAGUGUAAGUGACGGUACGGGGAAAAGAAGCCCCGGCUAACUCCGUG
This 434-nucleotide ribosomal RNA is filed under the name uncultured bacterium. RNAcentral describes it as "partial 16S ribosomal RNA". It matches the Rfam family "Bacterial small subunit ribosomal RNA", at positions 29 to 507 of the family's 1533-position model. The record is from RNAcentral.